Molecule: unclassified non-coding RNA, 227 nt
Filed under: air metagenome
Description: partial contains small subunit ribosomal RNA, internal transcribed spacer 1, and 5.8S ribosomal RNA
Rfam family: Eukaryotic small subunit ribosomal RNA (bases 1-46)
Source: RNAcentral
AAGUCGUAACAAGGUCUCCGUUGGUGAACCAGCGGAGGGAUCAUUACCGAGUUGUCCUCUGUGACACUCCCUUUAUACCCCCUGUGAACAUACCGUCGUUGCCUCGGUGGGCGUGUCAUAACGCCCGCCGGUGGCCCAUUUAUACCAAAUUCUAUAAACUUGAAAAUUUGAUUCUGAAUCUAUAACAAAUUAUGUUAAAACUUUCAACAACGGAUCUCUUGGUUCUG